This is a long non-coding RNA of Humulus lupulus (European hop), 428 nucleotides long. RefSeq lists it as uncharacterized. The transcript has 2 exons. NCBI's taxonomy places the organism in Eukaryota, Viridiplantae, Streptophyta, Magnoliopsida, Rosales, Cannabaceae. The record is from RefSeq and is a predicted model, not a curated record.
UCCACCAAACACCAAGAAUCAUUUCAAUUUAAAAAAGGUCGAUUGAGGUAAUAAUUUCAAAUUUACUAAGCAGACGAAAAUCGAUUCGUAGAUAACUCAAAUGAAAGGCUUGGUACCAUCGUCCAUAGUAAAAAACUCUCAAUAUUAAUGCAAUUUGGAGAAACAAAAAUUAAAUUAAAUCGUCAGAGGUCGGCUGGUCGCGACAGGCCUGAGGUUGGAAACAAUGGAAGAUGGUGAUGUUAGAGGUGGGCUUGGACGAGCCCAGGUGAGAUCUAGGUCGUGUCAUGGCCGGAGGUUUCAAGAGCUUGAGUUGUAGCCAGAGGUUGUUGAAGCUUGGGUCGUGGUCGGAGGUUGUCGAAGUUGGGUGUUUGUGGGUCUGGGUGUUUGAAGGUGCACAAUGGAAGAUGAACACAAGCCAAUUUUUUUUU